Molecule: unclassified non-coding RNA, 200 nt
Filed under: fungal sp.
Lineage: Eukaryota; Fungi
Description: partial internal transcribed spacer region
Rfam family: Eukaryotic small subunit ribosomal RNA (bases 1-46)
Source: RNAcentral
AAGUCGUAACAAGGUAUCCGUAGGUGAACCUGCGGAUGGAUCAUUACAAAAGUAUUCUAUACUUCUAACACUUGUGCACUGUUGCGUCUCUGCGAAAGGCAUUCGUGCCCUAGCAGUUUCGCGUUUCUUUCACAACUAAAACUGAAUUACAUCAUAUACUAUAAAAGAUAAAACUUUUAGCAACGGAUCUCUAGGUUCUC